RNAcentral lists this ribosomal RNA (431 nucleotides) under uncultured bacterium. RNAcentral's name for it is "bacterial SSU rRNA". It matches the Rfam family "Bacterial small subunit ribosomal RNA", at positions 29 to 508 of the family's 1533-position model. The record is from RNAcentral.
AACGAACGCUGGCGGCAGGCCUAACACAUGCAAGUCGAACGCCCCGCAAGGGGAGUGGCAGACGGGUGAGUAACACGUGGGAACGUGCCCAAAGGUUCGGAAUAUUCCCGGGAAACUGGGAGCAAUACCGAAUGUGUCCGCAAGGAGAAAGAUUUAUCGCCUUGGAUCGGCCCGCGUUGGAUUAGCUAGUUGGUGGGGUAAAAGCCUACCAAGGCGACGAUCCAUAGCUGGUUUGAGAGAACGACCAGCCACACUGGGACUGAGACACGGCCCAGACUCCUACGGGAGGCAGCAGUGGGGAAUCUUGGACAAUGGGCGCAAGCCUGAUCCAGCCAUGCCGCGUGAGUGAUGAAGGCCCUAGGGUUGUAAAACUCUUUCGCCGAGGACGAUAAUGACGGUACUCGGAGAAGAAGCUCCGGCUAACUUCGUGC